Molecule: long non-coding RNA, 824 nt
Organism: Amphiprion ocellaris (clown anemonefish)
Lineage: Eukaryota; Metazoa; Chordata; Actinopteri; Pomacentridae
Source: Ensembl
GUGAGUCAUGACAAGAACACACAGCUCUCCACUUAGUUUUCUGUUUCCAAGGCUUUUUCACAGUUGUGGUAGUUUCUCUUAGACCUCCGGCAUGUGUCAAAUCUGCAGCAGCUUAUUUUCCUGAACUUGCAUGAUAAUCACAUCUCUGAUAUGACUGGCAUUGAAGUUCUAACGUCUCUCAGGAUACUCCUGCUGGGGAAGAACAGGCGCUGUCUGAAGGACUGUCCCCAGCUAGACAUUGUAGAAGAACUGUAUAUUCUAAACCUCCAGCACAAUCGAAUCAGAAGGAUCUCGCAUGUGUCAAAUCUGCAGCAGCUUAUUGUCCUGAACUUGCAUGAUAAUCACAUCUCUGAUAUGACUGGCAUUAAAGUUCUAAGGUCUCUCAGGAUACUCCUGCUGGGGAAGAACAGAAAACAGGCUACAUGCAUCCAGCCAGAAAAGACAAAUCCAGACACCGCCAGUGCCGUCGUUUUCUGCCAAUAACUCACAUACAACACAAGAAACAAGAGACAAAACAAGUAGACCAACCCACAGUGCAGGAGCCACUAUCACAAAGCCUUAAAAAUUCCCAAGCCAGGAGGACUGCCGACGAGACUUGGAGGAUGGCUGCCUAAGUUUUGAGCUCCCGAAGGUUUUAAUGAUUAACCCCCAAAAAACUGGUUUUCACGUGAGGAUGUUAGCUCCGAAGCUAGCCUGCAAAGUAUUCUCACCGAAAUCCGAGAAUUCAGAAGAGACAACAGAACGCAACUCUCCCACAUUAAACAAGACAUAAAGAGAGCUAACGAGAGACUAGAUGAAGUCGAAGGGAGGAUUGAUGAGACUGA